GGGGAUUUAGCUCAGUGGCAUAAGUGCCUGCCUGACAAGCACAAGGUUGUGAGUUUGAGCCCCACUACCCCCC
Molecule: transfer RNA, 73 nt
Filed under: Cavia porcellus (domestic guinea pig)
Lineage: Eukaryota; Metazoa; Chordata; Mammalia; Rodentia; Caviidae
Rfam family: tRNA
About the family: Transfer RNA (tRNA) molecules are approximately 80 nucleotides in length. Their secondary structure includes four short double-helical elements and three loops (D, anti-codon, and T loops). Further hydrogen bonds mediate the characteristic L-shaped molecular structure. tRNAs have two regions of fundamental functional importance: the anti-codon, which is responsible for specific mRNA codon recognition, and the 3' end, to which the tRNAs corresponding amino acid is attached (by aminoacyl-tRNA synthetases). tRNAs cope with the degeneracy of the genetic code in two manners: having more than one tRNA (with a specific anti-codon) for a particular amino acid; and 'wobble' base-pairing, i.e. permitting non-standard base-pairing at the 3rd anti-codon position.
Source: Rfam by way of RNAcentral